UAAUAAAACUAGUAGCCGGACUACGGGGAUCGGGUCGGAUGUUAUCUUUUUGACUCGCUCGGCACCUUAUGAGAAAAUCAAAGGUCUUUGGGGUUCUGGGGGGAGUAUGGUCGCAAGGCUGAAAACUUAAAGAAAUUGACGGAAGGGCACCACCAGGAGUGGAGCCUGCGGCUUAAUUUGACCCAACACGGGGAAACUCACCAGGUCCAGACACAAUAAGGAUUGACAGAUUGAGUAGCUCUUUCUUGAUUUUGUGGGUGGUGGUGCAUGGCCGUUCUUAGUUGGUGGAGUGAUUUGUCUGCUUAAUUGCGAUAACGAACGAGACCUUAACCUGCUAAAUAGCCAGGCUAGCUUUGGCUGGUCGCCGGCUUCUUAGAGGGACUAUCGGCUCAAGCCGAAUGGAAGUUUGAGGCAAUAACAGGUCUGUGAUGCCCUUAGAUGUUCUGGGCCGCACGCGCGCUACACUGACCGGGCCAACGAGUUUCUUCCUUGACCGAAAGGUCUGGGUAAUCUUGUUAAACCCGGUCGUGC
This 531-nucleotide ribosomal RNA is filed under the name uncultured Lambertella. Its description in RNAcentral is "SSU rRNA". It matches the Rfam family "Eukaryotic small subunit ribosomal RNA", at positions 1030 to 1570 of the family's 1831-position model. Lineage: Eukaryota; Fungi; Ascomycota; Leotiomycetes; Helotiales; Rutstroemiaceae. The record is from RNAcentral.